RNAcentral lists this ribosomal RNA (484 nucleotides) under uncultured bacterium. Its description in RNAcentral is "bacterial SSU rRNA". It matches the Rfam family "Bacterial small subunit ribosomal RNA", at positions 28 to 511 of the family's 1533-position model. The record is from RNAcentral.
GACGAACGCUGGCGGCGUGCCUAACACAUGCAAGUCGAACGAAGCACCUACCAAGGAUUUCCUCGGAAUGACUAAUAGGUGACUGAGUGGCGGACGGGUGAGUAACGCGUGGGUAACCUGCCAUAUGCUGGGGGACAACAGUUAGAAAUGACUGCUAAUACCGCAUAAGCGCACGGAAUCGCAUGAUUCAGUGUGAAAAACUCCGGUGGCAUAUGAUGGACCCGCGUCUGAUUAGCUUGUUGGUGAGGUAACGGCUCACCAAGGCGACGAUCAGUAGCCGGCCUGAGAGGGUGAACGGCCACAUUGGGACUGAGACACGGCCCAAAACUCCUACGGGAGGCAGCAGUGGGGAAUAUUGCACAAUGGGGGAAACCCUGAUGCAGCGACGCCGCGUGAGUGAAGAAGUAUUUCGGUAUGUAAAGCUCUAUCAGCAGGGAAGAAAAUGACGGUACCUGACUAAGAAGCCCGGCUAACUACGUGCCAG